RNAcentral lists this long non-coding RNA (232 nucleotides) under Lathyrus oleraceus (garden pea). RNAcentral describes it as "Pisum sativum (pea) long non-coding RNA (PSAT_LNC023778)". The record is from RNAcentral. Lineage: Eukaryota; Viridiplantae; Streptophyta; Magnoliopsida; Fabales; Fabaceae.
UUACCACCAUCUUCAUCUUCUUGGUUACAUUCCAAAUCCUCAUUUUCAUCUUGGUUACAAAUAAGUCCCUCAUCUACUGAAUCUUUUUGAACACGUAUCAGAUAAGGUGUGAAAUCCAAUAUAUCAGCUUCUUGAUCACAUAACAUAUAAUCAGUUGUCUCCUCUAAAGUAAUAUCCAUUAUUGCAUCCUCAGACACAGUGGCCCCCUCCAAACUAACAUCUUCGCAUAAAU